RNAcentral lists this ribosomal RNA (497 nucleotides) under uncultured bacterium. Its description in RNAcentral is "partial 16S ribosomal RNA". It matches the Rfam family "Bacterial small subunit ribosomal RNA", at positions 28 to 507 of the family's 1533-position model. The record is from RNAcentral.
GACGAACGCUGGCGGCGUGCCUAAUACAUGCAAGUUGAGCGCUGAAGGUUGGUACUUGUACCAACUGGAUGAGCAGCGAACGGGCGAGUAACGCGUGGGGAAUCUGCCUUUGAGCGGGGGACAACAUUUGGAAACGAAUGCUAAUACCGCAUAAAAACUUUAAACACAAGUUUUAAGUUUGAAAGAUGCAAUUGCAUCACUCAAAGAUGAUCCCGCGUUGUAUUAGCUAGUUGGUGAGGUAAAGGCUCACCAAGGCGAUGAUACAUAGCCGACCUGAGAGGGUGAUCGGCCACAUUGGGACUGAGACACGGCCCAAACUCCUACGGGAGGCAGCAGUAGGGAAUCUUCGGCAAUGGACGAAAGUCUGACCGAGCAACGCCGAGUGAGUGAAGAAGGUUUUCGGAUCGUAAAACUCUGUUGGUAGAGAAGAACGUUGGUGAGAGUGGAAAGCUCAUCAAGUGACGGUAACUACCCAGAAAGGGACGGCUAACUACGUG